UCUCCUGGAAACGGGUGGUAAUGCCGGAUGCUCCGCCCCCUCGCAUGGGGGGUCGGGAAGGCUUUUGCGGAAUGGGAUGGGGUCGCGUCCUAUCAGCUUGUUGGCGGGGCGACGGCCCACCAAGGCUUCGACGGGUAGCCGGCCUGAGAGGGCGACCGGCCACAUUGGGACUGAGAUACGGCCCAGACUCCUAUGGGAGGCAGCAGUGGGGAAUAUUGCACAAUGGGGGGAACCCUGAUGCAGCGACGCCGCGUGCGGGAUGGAGGCCUUCGGGUCGUGAACCGCUUUUGAUUGGGAGCAAGCGUGAGUGAGUGUACCUUUCGAAUAAGCACCGGCUAACUACGUGCCAGCAGCCGCGGUAAUACGUAGGGGGCAAGCGUUGUCCGGAAUCAUUGGGCGUAAAGGGCUCGUAGGCGGUUCGUCCGCGUCCGGGUGUGAAAGCCCAUCGCUUACGGUGGGUCUGCCGCCGGAUAACGGGGCGGGCUUGAGUUGCGGCAGGGGAGGCUGGAAUUCCCGGUGGAACGGUUGGAUGGUGUAAAAUAUCGGGGAAGAAAACCA
RNAcentral lists this ribosomal RNA (558 nucleotides) under uncultured Bifidobacterium sp. RNAcentral describes it as "bacterial SSU rRNA". It matches the Rfam family "Bacterial small subunit ribosomal RNA", at positions 146 to 711 of the family's 1533-position model. Lineage: Bacteria; Bacillati; Actinomycetota; Actinomycetes; Bifidobacteriales; Bifidobacteriaceae. The record is from RNAcentral.